GAUGAACGCUGGCGGCGUGCCUAAUACAUGCAAGUCGAGCGAACAGAUAAGGAGCUUGCUCCUUUGACGUUAGCGGCGGACGGGUGAGUAACACGUGGGUAACCUACCUAUAAGACUGGGAUAACUUCGGGAAACCGGAGCUAAUACCGGAUAAUAUUUCGAACCGCAUGGUUCGAUAGUGAAAGAUGGUUUUGCUAUCACUUAUAGAUAGACCCGCGCCGUAUUAGCUAGUUGGUAAGGUAACGGCUUACCAAGGCGACGAUACGUAGCCGACCUGAGAGGGUGAUCGGCCACACUGGAACUGAGACACGGUCCAGACUCCUACGGGAGGCAGCAGUAGGGAAUCUUCCGCAAUGGGCGAAAGCCUGACGGAGCAACGCUGCGUGAGUGAUGAAGGUCUUCGGAUCGUAAAACUCUGUUAUUAGGGAAGAACAUACGUGUAAGUAACUGUGCACGUCUUGACGGUACCUAAUCAGAAAGCCACGGCUAACUACGUG
Molecule: ribosomal RNA, 497 nt
Filed under: uncultured bacterium
Lineage: Bacteria
Description: partial 16S ribosomal RNA
Rfam family: Bacterial small subunit ribosomal RNA
Source: RNAcentral